Molecule: ribosomal RNA, 317 nt
Filed under: uncultured Bulleidia sp.
Lineage: Bacteria; Bacillati; Bacillota; Erysipelotrichia; Erysipelotrichales; Erysipelotrichaceae
Description: bacterial SSU rRNA
Rfam family: Bacterial small subunit ribosomal RNA
Source: RNAcentral
GAUAAACGCUGGCGGCGUGCCUAAUACAUGCAAGUCGUACGCUGAAAGUCUAGCUUGCUAGAUGAGUAGGAGUGGCGAACGGGUGAGUAAUACAUAAGCAACCUACCCACGAAGACUGGGAUAAUCCUUGGAAACGAGGACUAAUACCGGAUAAGUAAUCGGAUGGCAUCUUCUGAUUAUUAAAGGUUCAAAACACUGGUGGAUGGGCUUAUGGCGCAUUAGCUUGUUGGUGAGGUAACGGCUCACCAAGGCGAUGAUGCGUAGCCGGCCUGAGAGGGUGAACGGCCACAUUGGGACUGAGACACGGCCCAGACUCC